CUUAUAACUAUCACGACGCCCAAAAGUCGUGGCUUGGGUUUUGCCAGCUGGCGUGAUCUCCUCUAUGAGUAAUCAUGUGAGGUGCCAGAUCUAUGGCGUUUCCCUAAUGUAUCCGGAUGCACCCUUGUCUUGGCAGAAAGCCGUGGUGAGGUGCAGUGGCGGAAUCGUGGUUUAAUAAUCGGGUUGGUACUCAGUUGUCAGUGUGUUUGGCGAUCCCCUAGUCGGCACACUUAUGAUUUCUGGGAUAAUUCCAUACCAGGCACGUUCCGUCACUGUCACUUUGUCAUUGGUUUGAUGCUGAACUUGGUCAUGUGUCUGAUGCUAUUUUCAUAUAGCGACGGUACCCUUCGUGGUCUGUCUUCCUGACCUCGGUUCAGACGUGAUUACCCGCUGAACUUAAGCAUAUCA
Molecule: ribosomal RNA, 408 nt
Filed under: Fasciola hepatica (liver fluke)
Lineage: Eukaryota; Metazoa; Platyhelminthes; Trematoda; Plagiorchiida; Fasciolidae
Description: eukaryotic LSU rRNA
Source: RNAcentral